This 465-nucleotide ribosomal RNA is filed under the name Vreelandella stevensii. RNAcentral's name for it is "partial 16S ribosomal RNA". It matches the Rfam family "Bacterial small subunit ribosomal RNA", at positions 338 to 795 of the family's 1533-position model. Lineage: Bacteria; Pseudomonadati; Pseudomonadota; Gammaproteobacteria; Oceanospirillales; Halomonadaceae. The record is from RNAcentral.
CCUACGGGGGGCUGCAGUGGGGAAUAUUGGACAAUGGGGGCAACCCUGAUCCAGCCAUGCCGCGUGUGUGAAGAAGGCCCUCGGGUUGUAAAGCACUUUCAGUGAGGAAGAACGCCUGGUGGUUAAUACCCAUCAGGAAAGACAUCACUCACAGAAGAAGCACCGGCUAACUCCGUGCCAGCAGCCGCGGUAAUACGGAGGGUGCGAGCGUUAAUCGGAAUUACUGGGCGUAAAGCGCGCGUAGGUGGCUUGAUAAGCCGGUUGUGAAAGCCCCGGGCUCAACCUGGGAACGGCAUCCGGAACUGUCAAGCUAGAGUGCAGGAGAGGAAGGUAGACUUCCCGGUGUAGCGGUGAAAUGCGUAGAGAUCGGGAGGAAUACCAGUGGCGACGGCGGCCUUCUGGACUGACACUGACACUGAGGUGCGAAAGCGUGGGUAGCAAACAGGAUUAGAUACCCUUGUAGUC